GAUUAACGCUGGCGGCGUGCAUAACACAUGCAAGUCGAACGAAGUAGCGGACGGGUGAGUAACGCGUGAGUAACCUGCCUUAGAGAAGGGGAUAGCCUUUGGAAAAGAAGAAUAAUACCCUAUGCUCUAAGAUGGACUUGCGUCUGAUUAGUUAGUUGGUGGGGUAACGGCCCACCAAGACAGCGAUCCGUAGCCGGCUUGAGAGAGUGGACGGCCCUAUUGGGACUGCGAAACGGCCCAGACUCUACGGGAGGCAGCAGUGGGGAAUUUUGCACAAUGGGGGAAACACUGAUGCAGCGACGCCGCGUGAGUUAGAAGGCCUUCUGGUUGUAAAAAUCUUUUCUAUGGGAAGCAGUACCAUAGGAAUAAGGACCGGCUAAUUACGUGCCAGCAGCCGCGGUAAUUC
Molecule: ribosomal RNA, 406 nt
Filed under: uncultured bacterium
Lineage: Bacteria
Description: partial 16S ribosomal RNA
Rfam family: Bacterial small subunit ribosomal RNA
Source: RNAcentral